GCAACUCUCCACGCAAGCAAGCCAGAGGAGGGAAGCAAAAGCGGGCCACGGAGGAGUUAUAAAAUCAAGGGAGUGACAAGACUGUGCCCCGGUGGCUCAGUGCUCUCGGGAGUGGGCCAGGAAAGGGUCUGGAAAUUUCUCAGGCCCUACCUCCCACAGGGGGCCACACUUCCUCAGAUGCCACAGCCCCUGGGCACAGGCCCAGCCCCUCCACUCAGUCACGGUCUCUGCUGGGGUGCUGCCCCUGCGCUGUGCUUUGAUGAUCUCUUCCCCACUCCUGUUCUUCUGGGACGCGCUUCCUCUGGGCAGAGCUGCCUGCCCGGCACGGUCCGCAGAGAAGCCUCAGGCGGCGUCUCCUUGGUGGUCUCUGCAUGGAGAGGAAGCUGCAGCAGUCUCCGGCCUGGCCCACAUCCCAUGGAACCAACUCCAUGUGCAGCAACAAAGCACCGGACCUGCUGGAACCAGGGACCCAACCGUGAACGAGCAACAGAGUCCGGGGUGCAGGGACUCACAGUCGCCUCCUGCUGGCCUCCUUCGACGGAAGAGGACUCCUGCUGCUAGUCCUGGGUGCAGCAAGGGGCCUUAGCAGCUGGAGGGACAAUGGCACAGCAGUGAUGGGGCAGACGGAGGCCAUGGAGCCUGCGACAUCACUGCAGCCACAUGAGCUUCUUGGGGGAGCCAACGGCCCCUCCGUUUCUGAGCUGUGAGCCCCCACCCUCUGCCACGUGGCUAGAAUGCUAUUUCUGCCCCCAGAAACCUGGGGUACAGGAAGCUGGCUGAGUCCUGGCCAAGCACGUCUUUUCAAAGGGAGCAAGGAAAAUUGCUGGGUGCGGCCUGGCACCCCCGGCUCCCCGCACCAGAGCUGCCCGAGGUUGGGGGCCGCUGUGCCCUGUACUGUCCAGUGUCCACACAGUGUCCAGGAUGGGCCCAGGGCCCUGCUCCCUGCAGGGGCUUGGCACGGAGGUGUCGGUACAAAAACUCCACCUCUGCUUCAGCGUGCCCACCCAGGGUUGGGAGGGAGGAGAAGGUUCCAGAAAGAGGAUGGUGUAACAGAGCUGGAAACUUCCCCAAGAAACUUCUAAAGGGUUGGGGAGAGAUCAGACGGUGCCUUGAGGUGCCCUCCCCUGUCCCCAUUCCCAGGAAGGCCUUUUCUCCAACCCUUUGGCGGGAGAGACCAGACAUGUCCCCGACAGCCCUGCACAGUACGGGCAGCCCCGUCCUGUGGCAGCUAAGGAGCCAGUGGGAUCUGCAGGUGUGGCACAGGAGGGAGACCAGGGCCAUCAGCCUCUCUGGACAUGGCCUGGCUGAGGUGUGGGAAGAGACACGAUAGGGCAAGAAGCUUCCAGAAGGGAGGGCCAAGGCACCUUCCUUUGCGUGUGGGGGACAGGCGGGCGGCCAGCCAUCCGCAGGGCAGAAGCAGCAGUGGGAGGGAGGUCCGGGCUCUGCCCAGCUCACAGGGCAGGUCCAAUUGGGGCGCCUCACAUAUCACUGUCAGGGACAGACCAGACAGAGGGGGUGACACUGUCACUUUCUGGGUCAGAUGCCUGAGGCAGGGUGGGGGAGCAGCGCGUGGGGUGCCCCUAUACCUUGGCCUUUGGGAUUUGGGGGGAGGGGGAGAACAAAUGCUGCCCUGGCAGGUGUCCUUGGAGCCCGGCCCAACCGUGCCUGGCCGAGCCCUCGCCAGCUGUAGCCCUGAGCAGCGGCUGGCAGAGCUCAGGGACUCACUGCCGCUUGUUUGUUUGCCUCUGGGCUUAGGGGUCAUUCCUGGCUGUGCUGGGAGUCAAACCUGGUCGGCAUGCUCAGGGCAUGUCUGAGCCCCUGCACUCUGCACCCAUUUCCUGGGAAUGUGGGCUUCUCCUCUGGGGGAGAUUCUGCCACUGGUCCCCCGGAGAUUUGGGGGGAUGGGCUGCAGGAUUCUGGGCUGGGGUAGGCAGCCCAGGGCCCCUGCCUUGUGCUGCUGUGAAGAUACUGUGCACCCAACCCCAGCACCCUGACAAGUGCUGGGCAGAAAGGUUGCUUGUUGCUCUCAGCAGACUCGGGGGGCAUGGAGGGUUCUGAGAGGGGUAUCAGGGCAUGAAUGGGUGGCACCAGCUGCUUACAGUACGGCAGUGGGGGCAGUUUCCUCCGGGAGGCUGUGCUUGGGCCCCCAUGCUGGUGCUGUGGUACCAGGUCCUCACCACAGCGAGGAGUCCUCCCAGGCCCUGGUGCACCCUUCACUGUCGAUGGUCCUGACCUCUCUCCUGCCCAGGUGCCCCUCGUCUGUGAUGCUCCGUGGAGGGGUGCCCUGGGCCCAGGGGCCUCAUUCAGAGCCUCUGGGACAAGCAGGACAUAUAGGGGCAUCUCAGCUCUGACUCAGGUCAGGGGUCCCUGCGGAAGCGCCCAGACCCAGCAGAGCUGCAGACAUGGGGGCAGCCGCUGCCCUAUCUGAGGACUGCUGGGCACAGAAGCUGCAGGCUGCGGGUGACCCCCUUUGCCCCUGCAGUACCUGUGCCUGAGAAUUGGGGCCUCUGGGGUGUCCACUUCCUGCAAGCGUCCCCACACUGGGCCUCGGGCAUGUCCCUGCACGUGAGGGCACCGUGCGGCCCUCGUCUGAGUGGGAGACAGUAGUGUCUCUGCUGGCUUCCUCGGCCCAAUAAAAUGGCUCAGCGAAACCCUUAAUGAAGCGGGCAGGGGCAGGUGGGAGUGGCCAGGCGAGUCGGGGCACGGUCUGUGCUCAGCAGAGCUUGAGCUAUUGACAGGAUCCUGGCGGACUGCUGACCUGGUGUCCGGCCCCUGUCCAAGCUGCCCUCUGCACCCCACUCUCAGGCUGGGCGGGGAAGGCCCGAGCCCUUUAGGAGCAACACUGGGGGGCACGGCAGGGGGGCCACUCUCCAGGCUCAGCCCCUUCUGCACUCCUUGGAGAGGAGAGGACAGAUUUCAGAACCCAGAGGAGGGUGCUGGGCCCAGGCUGCUUGCUUCUCAGAGCACAGGGCGUUGCCCUGGGGGUGUUUGUUCUGCCUCCUGUACCUCUGCUAGGGCCCCAACGGGGCUGCUGCCCAGGGCAGACCAGGGCACAUAACCCACAGCUCUGCCUGCCAGGAGCUUCCCCACCCCCAGGUUUUCUCUUGUUAAAGAACCAAAACCAUUUUGGGACCUGAGCGAUAGUACAGCAGGGAGGGUGUUUGCCUCACACGCAGCUGACCCGGGUUCCCGGGCAUCCCACAUGGUCCCCCGAGCACCAGGAGUGAUUCCUGAGUACAGAGCCAGGAGUAACCCUGAGCAUUGCUGGACGAGGCCCCCAAACAAAAUAAAAUGAAACAAGAACCAAAACCAUUUUCUCCCCCUCAAAUAACUCAAACUUGGCAUGGGAAAUUGAGAAACCCACUGAAAGGGAAGGGAAAGGCCUGAGGUCGAGUUGAGAGGACCUGCAGAGGUCUCUGUCUUGAUUCGACAUGGUAAGACCCACUGAGCUGACCCUUGGGGCUGGGCAGAGAGAGCAUCGGGCAGGAUUCUGGCCUUGCAUACAGCCAACAGGGGUUCAAUUCCCCUUAUUUUAUGUGGUCCCGAGCUGGUCUGGAGUGAUCCAAGUGCAGAGCCAGAAGAGAGCCCUGAGCACAGCUGGGUGUGGCCCCCAAACCAAAAGUAUUUCAGAAGAUAAAUGUGGGGACCAGUGGGUGAAGGGCUGACACGGGGGUGUCACCUGAGGCCCCCAUGGGGGAAGGGGAGGGGCUGGUCUGGGCCCUGUGUACGCUCUCAAUGCUAGCUGCAUGGCUCUGCCAUGGCUGUGAACUUAGCCCUGCUCCGAGGGGAUGGAUGGCCAGGCCAGUAAUGGUCUUUUGCAGAGCCACACCUGGUGGGAAAGGCCAUCUCUGGGCUCCACCCACCAGGGCCCUGAGGGGAAACACCCGCCUUCCCAGUUCGGAGGAUGCCGGUUUCUCAGCACUUCUGCCGGACAUGGCCUGCAGGGCCGAGGUCUUGUUCUGGGCCCUAUCCGCUGUACACGAUGUUCGCUGUCGGUGUGACCAGGCGUUUGGCGAGUGCCUCGGAAAUAAGUGUGGGGCCUCCAGGGAGUGACUGCUGUUUCCUGAGUCACUGAUCUCACUCCCGUCAUGCCUGACACACACGACCAACUCAGCAUGUCCCUCACAACCUGCCCCGUGCAUGCAAAGCCUCAGCGUCUAUGGCCCAGGCUUCCUGGCUGUCUGCUCUAUCUUUGGGCCACAUCCGGCAGUAGUCAGGACCAUGUGUGGUGUCAGGGAAUUGACCUGGGUCAGCCGCAUGCAAGGUAAGGGCCCUCCCAGCUAUGCUGGCACCCCAGCACCCCCGUGCUUCUGAGACGACUUG
Long non-coding RNA from Sorex araneus (European shrew), 4323 nucleotides. RefSeq lists it as uncharacterized. NCBI's taxonomy places the organism in Eukaryota, Metazoa, Chordata, Mammalia, Eulipotyphla, Soricidae. The record is from RefSeq and is a predicted model, not a curated record. The transcript has 3 exons.